CCUACGGGGGGCAGCAGUAGGGAAUAUUGCUCAAUGGGGGAAACCCUGAACCAGCAACGCCGCGUGGGGGAUGAAGGUUUUCGGAUUGUAAACUCCUUUUGUUAGAGAAGAUAAUGACGGUAUCUAACGAAUACUCCCCGGCUAACUCCGUGCCAGCAGCCGCGGUCAUACGUAGGGUGCAAGCGUUAUCCGGAAUGACUGGGCGUAAAGGGAGCGUAGACGGGAUAGCAAGUCAGAUGUGAAAUCCUAUGGCUCAACCAUAGGACUGCAUUUGAAACUGUUAGUCUAGAGUAUGGGAGAGGUAGGUGGAAUUCUUGGUGUAGCGGUAAAAUCCGUAGAGAUCAAGAGGAAUACUCAUUGCGAAGGCGACCUGCUAGAAUAUAACUGACGCUGAUGCGCGAAAGCGUGGGGAGCAAACAGGAUUAGAUACCCGUGUAGUC
Molecule: ribosomal RNA, 440 nt
Filed under: uncultured bacterium
Lineage: Bacteria
Description: partial 16S ribosomal RNA
Rfam family: Bacterial small subunit ribosomal RNA
Source: RNAcentral